CUGGUCCUACGGGGCGCAGCAGUGGGGGAUAUUGGACAAUGGGGGGAACCCUGAUCCAGUGACGCCGCGUGAGUGAAGAAGUAUUUCGGUAUGUAAAGCUCUGUCAGCAGGGAAGAAAGCAAUGACGGUACCUGACCAAGAAGCCCCGGCUAACUACGUGCCAGCAGCCGCGGUAAUACGUAGGGGGCAAGCGUUAUCCGGAUUUACUGGGUGUAAAGGGAGCGUAGACGGCUGUGCAAGUCUGAAGUGAAAUGCCGGGGCUCAACCCCGGAACCGCUUUGGAAACUGUACAGCUAGAGUGAAGG
This 305-nucleotide ribosomal RNA is filed under the name uncultured bacterium. Its description in RNAcentral is "bacterial SSU rRNA". It matches the Rfam family "Bacterial small subunit ribosomal RNA", at positions 333 to 652 of the family's 1533-position model. The record is from RNAcentral.